AGCUCCAAUAGCGCAUAUAUCAAAGCUGCUGCGUUUAAAAAGCUCGUAGUUGGAUCUCGGUUCCAGGCCAGCGGUCCGCCUCGGUGCGGACACUGCUCGACCUGUGUUCUACGUCGUGGUGGUCCCUUGGUGCUCUUGAAGGAGUGCUCCGGGCGGUCCCGAGCGAACGUUUACUGUGACACAAUUAGACUGCCCAAAGCAGGCGUAUCGCCUGAGUAAGUCCGCGUGGAAUAAUGGAAUAAUGGACGUCGGUUCCAGUUUCGUUGGUUUGCGAUCCAUUGAGGCAAUGGUUAAUAGGGACUGCCGGGGGCAAACGUAUUGCGGCGGGAGAGGUGAAAUUCGUGGAUCGCCGCAAGACGAACGACAGCGAAAGCAUUUGCCAAGAAUGUUCUCAUUA
Molecule: ribosomal RNA, 397 nt
Filed under: Abra sp.
Lineage: Eukaryota; Metazoa; Mollusca; Bivalvia; Cardiida; Semelidae
Description: partial small subunit ribosomal RNA
Rfam family: Eukaryotic small subunit ribosomal RNA
Source: RNAcentral